Molecule: ribosomal RNA, 253 nt
Filed under: uncultured bacterium
Lineage: Bacteria
Description: partial 16S ribosomal RNA
Rfam family: Bacterial small subunit ribosomal RNA
Source: RNAcentral
GACAGAGGGUGCGAACGUUGUUCGGAAUUACUGGGCGUAAAGCGCAUGUAGGCGGCAGCGCAAGUCGGGCGUGAAAUCCCUCGGCUUAACCGGGGAACUGCGUCUGAUACUGGAUGGCUUGAGUUCGGGAGAGGGAUGCGGAAUUCCAGGUGUAGCGGUGAAAUGCGUAGAUAUCAGGAGGAACACCGGUGGCGAAGGCGGGACUCUGGGCCGAUACUGACGCUGAGGAGCGAAAGCGUGGGGAGCAAACAGG